CCUACGUGAGGCAGCAGUGAGGAAUAUUGGUCAAUGGGCGAGAGCCUGAACCAGCCAAGUCGCGUGAGGGAGUACUGCCCUAUGGGUUGUAAACCUCUUUUGUCGGGGAGCAAAAUCCGGCCGUUUCCCGCUGUUAGAUUACCCGCAGAAACAGCAUCAGCUCACUCCGGUCCAGCAGCCGCGGUCAUACUGAGGAUGCGAGCGUUAUCGGGAUUUAUUGGUUUUAACGGGUACGCAGGCGGAUGUUUAAGUCAGCGGGAAAAUCGUGGGGCUAAACCCCAUCCCGCCGUUGAAACUGGGGAUCUAGAGUGUGUGAGAGGUAGGAGGAAUGCGUGGUGUAGCGGUGAAAUGCAUAGAUAUCACGCAGAACACCGAUUGCGAAGGCAGCAUACGGGGGCAAAACUGACGCUCAGGCACGAAAGCGUGGGUAUCGAACAGGAUUAGAUACCCUAGUAGUC
This 458-nucleotide ribosomal RNA is filed under the name uncultured bacterium. RNAcentral describes it as "partial 16S ribosomal RNA". It matches the Rfam family "Bacterial small subunit ribosomal RNA", at positions 338 to 795 of the family's 1533-position model. The record is from RNAcentral.